GCCCAGAUAGCUCAGUCGGUAGAGCAAAGGACUGAAAAUCCUUGUGUCGCUGGUUCGAUUCCGGCUCUGGGCACCA
This 76-nucleotide transfer RNA is filed under the name Chlamydia trachomatis. RNAcentral describes it as "tRNA-Phe(gaa)". It matches the Rfam family "tRNA". From Rfam's summary of the family: Transfer RNA (tRNA) molecules are approximately 80 nucleotides in length. Lineage: Bacteria; Pseudomonadati; Chlamydiota; Chlamydiia; Chlamydiales; Chlamydiaceae. RNAcentral also lists the same sequence under 24 other names. The record is from RNAcentral.